UAGGGAAUCUUCCGCAAUGGACGCAAGUCUGACGGAGCAACGCCGCGUGAGUGAAGAAGGAUUUCGGUUCGUAAAACUCUGUUGUUAGAGAAGAACAGCGCAUAGAGUAACUGUUAUGCGUGUGACGGUAUCUAACCAGAAAGCCACGGCUAACUACGUGCCAGCAGCCGCGGUAAUACGUAGGUGGCAAGCGUUGUCCGGAUUUAUUGGGCGUAAAGCGAGCGCAGGCGGUCAAUUAAGUCUGAUGUGAAAGCCCCCGGCUCAACCGGGGAGGGUCAUUGGAAACUGGUUGACUUGAGUGCAGACGAGGAGAGUGGAAUUCCAUGUGUAGCGGUGAAAUGCGUAGAUAUAUGGAGGAACACCAGUGGCGAAGGCGACUCUCUGGUCUGUAACUGACGCUGAGGCUCGAAAGCGUGGGUAGCAAACAGG
RNAcentral lists this ribosomal RNA (429 nucleotides) under Bacteroidota bacterium. Its description in RNAcentral is "Bacteroidetes bacterium partial 16S ribosomal RNA". It matches the Rfam family "Bacterial small subunit ribosomal RNA", at positions 355 to 776 of the family's 1533-position model. The record is from RNAcentral. Lineage: Bacteria; Pseudomonadati; Bacteroidota.